UUCAUUCCCUCAGUGUUGAAACAAUCUCUGCUGAACCAGAUUCUAAAAGUUCACUGGAGUUUGUUUCAACAUUGCAAGAAUGAUAAGAUCAAUGC
RNAcentral lists this microRNA precursor (95 nucleotides) under Vicugna pacos (alpaca). RNAcentral's name for it is "microRNA 653 (ENSVPAG00000016270.1)". The stretch from base 6 to 80 matches the Rfam family "mir-653 microRNA precursor family". Lineage: Eukaryota; Metazoa; Chordata; Mammalia; Artiodactyla; Camelidae. The record is from RNAcentral.